This 655-nucleotide long non-coding RNA is filed under the name Eucalyptus grandis. RNAcentral describes it as "long non-coding RNA (EGRA_LNC003973)". The record is from RNAcentral. Lineage: Eukaryota; Viridiplantae; Streptophyta; Magnoliopsida; Myrtales; Myrtaceae.
AUGUGUCAGAUUUGUCAAAACCACAGCCCAGAAACAACGGAACACAUCUUUUGGCAAUGUCCAUGGACGCGCAAAUUUUGGUCUCAUAUAGCGGUACAAAUCAAACCAACAGAUUAUAAUAUAAAUCGUAUAGAUGCUUGGUUAGCAAAGUUGUUAUGCAAAAAAGAUGCCAUACCUGAUCUGAAAACCCUGGUGCAUAUCCUCUGGCAAAUAUGGAAAUCCAAAAAUCAUUUUAUAUUUCGCAGGGUUGCUCCCGACCCAGCACACCCAGUCCCCCGAACUCAGAUCGGGUGUGGAAGCCUCCAAAUCCUGAAGCGCUCAAGAUCAAUAUAGAUGGAGUUUUUCCCAUUGCACCAAAUGAGGGAUCUGUGGCAUCUAUUUGUUAUGAUCAUUCUGGCCGACUUAUUGACGGGUUUACACACACCGUUUUAGCAACUACGACAUUGCUGACAGAAGCUCAAGCCCUUACACUCACCUUACAAAACCUGCUGCACAAAAGAAUGGAAAAGAAGCAACUCACCGUGGAAUCUGACUAUUGGGUGCUCGUCAAAGCUAUGCAGAAUCCAUGUUCGGCACCAUGGGAAGCUUGUCCACUCAUCUCCGAAGUUACGGCGCUACUCCCUUGCUUCCCUAGGUUAGAGAUCGUGUAUUGCAG